CGACCAGCGGAUCAUGGUUUUGGACGGAUCCCCCGUCCCCCUCUCUCUGGUUGAGAACAAGGUCGUGUCCUUCCAAGCCGUGCCCGUGGGUGUGAUGGAGUCGUCCG
This 107-nucleotide non-coding RNA is filed under the name Chromera velia. Lineage: Eukaryota; Chromeraceae. The record is from RNAcentral.